RNAcentral lists this ribosomal RNA (255 nucleotides) under uncultured bacterium. RNAcentral's name for it is "partial 16S ribosomal RNA". It matches the Rfam family "Bacterial small subunit ribosomal RNA", at positions 524 to 776 of the family's 1533-position model. The record is from RNAcentral.
UACAGAGGUCCCAAGCGUUGUUCGGAUUCACUGGGCGUAAAGGGUGCGUAGGUGGCGAGGUAAGUCGGAUGUGAAAGCCUCGGAGCUCAACUCCGAAAUGGCAUUGGAAACUACCUGGCUUGAGGGUUGGAAGGGGGACUCGGAAUUCUCGGUGUAGCAGUGAAAUGCGUAGAUAUCGAGAGGAACACCAGUGGCGAAGGCGAGUCCCUGGACAAUACCUGACACUGAGGCACGAAAGCUAGGGGAGCAAACAGG